UUUUUCGCAAUGGGCGCAAGCCUGACGAAGCAACGCCGCGUGGAGGACGAAGGCCCUAGCGGUCGUAAACUCCUGUCUAGUGGGACGAAAGCGACCUGGGUGAAUAAUCCAGGAUGUUGACUGUACCGCUGGAGGAAGCUCCGGCCAACCCCGUGCCAGCAGCCGCGGUAAUACGGAGGGUGCGAGCGUUGUCCGGAAUCAUUGGGCGUAAAGGGCGCGUAGGUGGCCCGGUCAGUCCGUGGUGAAAGCGCGGGGCUCAACCCUGCGUCGGCCAUGGAUACUGCCGCGGCUCGAGCACUGUAGAGGCAGGCGGAAUUCCGGGUGUAGCGGUGGAAUGCGUAGAGAUCCGGAAGAACACCGGUGGCGAAGGCGGCCUGCUGGGCAGUUUAGCUGACACUGAGGCGCGACAGCGUGGGGAGCAAAC
This 424-nucleotide ribosomal RNA is filed under the name uncultured bacterium. Its description in RNAcentral is "bacterial SSU rRNA". It matches the Rfam family "Bacterial small subunit ribosomal RNA", at positions 362 to 773 of the family's 1533-position model. The record is from RNAcentral.